AGAGCCAUGGAGAUGCAGAAGAAGGUCAUGCAGAGUGCGCCGCGGCGAGCCCGACGCCUCAGACGCCACAGCAGGCUGACUCUGUCCAUCGCUGCCCCGGGUAUCUGCAAAGACAGAAUCAAAGGAUGUGUUUGGGGUGUGAACUCUUCAUGGCCUUCGCUCAGUAAGACCAGACAGGAGCUGGUUUAUUAAGUCUGCUAACAUCGAGCUGUGUCCAUCUUCCACCUCGAUGUGGUUUAUUUGUGCAGGCGUGGAGCAAAAUGACCACACUGACAGUCCAGAAGUGUAAACGCUGCAACUCUGGGACUGACAUUCUGUCACAUGAUGCCAAUAAUCAGACUUCACUCUUCUGACCGCUGUCACGCUAUCUGAAGUAACACGCCGGCGGUCCGCACAGCUUUAGCGACUCUCGUUAGGAAAUGACUUCAGAGCCUCGCUCUCUCCACACGCUGAUGUCUGAGCGAUGUUCAGGAGUCGAGGGGCUAUUUGUCUGAUAACUGAUUGGUCAGUAGGACAUGAUUGAUCUCUAAGGUAGUACACAACACUCCAGAGCAGCACAAGUUACCAUAGCAACGUAACAAGUGAACUGCGUUGGUAUGUUAGAAUUUAUAUU
Long non-coding RNA from Oreochromis niloticus (Nile tilapia), 613 nucleotides. RefSeq lists it as uncharacterized. The record is from RefSeq and is a predicted model, not a curated record. NCBI's taxonomy places the organism in Eukaryota, Metazoa, Chordata, Actinopteri, Cichliformes, Cichlidae. The transcript is spliced from 2 exons.